RNAcentral lists this long non-coding RNA (357 nucleotides) under Lathyrus oleraceus (garden pea). RNAcentral's name for it is "Pisum sativum (pea) long non-coding RNA (PSAT_LNC006729)". Lineage: Eukaryota; Viridiplantae; Streptophyta; Magnoliopsida; Fabales; Fabaceae. The record is from RNAcentral.
UCGUGGAAUCAUGCUCGAAAGAAAACCCCAAAACCCCAAGAAAACAAACUCCUCCAUAGAAAAAAUAGAGGCAUGUUACAACCUAUAGCAGGCUCAAUCCUUAAAACCCUAAUUUCCACUUAUCACCAUUGGGAAACAACACCCUGCUACGGGUGGCCAUAGCAUGUGCUACAGGCCAUAGUAGGGCAUGUAGAGGGAGAACUUAAAUUUAAAAAAAAAAAUCAAAUUCAAGUCUUUCUUGGGACACCUCCAACUAAACCAAUCAUCACCCAUUAACUUUCUUUAAAUACACCAAAUCUAAUUUUCUAAACCAUCAUUCAUUCUCUUUCCAAAUCUCUUAUCUUCUCUAUAUUCCCC